Molecule: ribozyme, 116 nt
Filed under: Aedes aegypti (yellow fever mosquito)
Lineage: Eukaryota; Metazoa; Arthropoda; Insecta; Diptera; Culicidae
Description: drz-agam-1 ribozyme
Rfam family: drz-agam-1 ribozyme
Source: Rfam by way of RNAcentral
UGCCCAGCAACUCCUAUCCCUACCUCCUCGCGGUACUGGCCGGGGUAUGAGUAACCUAUGGGAAGAUCGGGUAAUUAACCCCGGUGGGAACUUUGGUCGUAUACUGGCAGGGAAGG